RNAcentral lists this ribosomal RNA (497 nucleotides) under uncultured bacterium. Its description in RNAcentral is "partial 16S ribosomal RNA". It matches the Rfam family "Bacterial small subunit ribosomal RNA", at positions 28 to 507 of the family's 1533-position model. The record is from RNAcentral.
GAUGAACGCUGGCGGCGUGCCUAAUACAUGCAAGUCGAGCGAACAGACGAGGAGCUUGCUCCUCUGACGUUAGCGGCGGACGGGUGAGUAACACGUGGAUAACCUACCUAUAAGACUGGGAUAAUUUCGGGAAACCGGAGCUAAUACCGGAUAAUAUAUUGAACUUCAUUGUUCACUAGUGAAAGACGCUUUUGCUGUCACUUAUAGAUGGACCCGCACCGCAUUAGCUAGUUGGUAAGGUAACGGCUUACCAACGCAACGAUGGUUAGCCGACCUAAGAGGGUGGUCGCCCAGACGGGAACAGAGGAAGAGUACAGACUCCGACAGUGGGAAGCAGUAGGGAAUCUUCCGCGAGGGACGAGUGGGUAACAGAGGAACGCCGCGUAAGGGAUGAUGGAGUUCGGAUGGUAGAGCUCUGAAAUUAUGAGGGAUGUAAUGUGUAAGUAACUAGGCAGGUCUUGACAGUACCGGAUCAGAAAGCCACGGCUAACUACGUG